Molecule: ribosomal RNA, 946 nt
Filed under: uncultured bacterium
Lineage: Bacteria
Description: bacterial SSU rRNA
Rfam family: Bacterial small subunit ribosomal RNA
Source: RNAcentral
CUUUUAUAUGGGAAGAUAAUGACGGUACCAUACGAAUAAGCACCGGCUAACUCCGUGCCAGCAGCCGCGGUAAUACGGAGGGUGCAAGCGUUACUCGGAAUCACUGGGCGUAAAGCGCGCGCAGGCGGCUAUUUAAGUUGGAUGUGAAAGCCUACGGCUCAACCGUAGAACUGCAUCCAAAACUAUUUAGCUAGAGUGUGGGAGAGGAAGAUGGAAUUAGUUGUGUAGGGGUAAAAUCCGUAGAGAUAACUAGGAAUACCAAAAGCGAAGGCAAUCUUCUGGAACACUACUGACGCUGAGGCGCGAAAGCGUGGGGAGCAAACAGGAUUAGAUACCCUGGUAGUCCACGCAGUAAACGAUGAAUGUUAGUCGUCGGGGGCCUAGUGUCUUCGGUGAUGCAGCUAACGCAUUAAACAUUCCGCCUGGGGAGUACGGUCGCAAGAUUAAAACUCAAAGGAAUAGACGGGGACCCGCACAAGUGGUGGAGCAUGUGGUUUAAUUCGAAGAUACGCGAAGAACCUUACCUAGCCUUGACAUAUUUGAGAACACUUUAGAGAUAGAGUGGUGCCUUCGGGAGCUCAUAUACAGGUGCUGCACGGCUGUCGUCAGCUCGUGUCGUGAGAUGUUGGGUUAAGUCCCGCAACGAGCGCAACCCUCGUCACUAGUUACUAACGGUUCGGCCGAGGACUCUAGUGAGACUGCCUUCGUAAGGAGGAGGAAGGUGAGGACGACGUCAAGUCAUCAUGGCCCUUACGGCUAGGGCAACACACGUGCUACAAUGGUUGGGACAAUGAGACGCAAUACCGCGAGGUGGAGCAAAUCUAUAAACCCAAUCUCAGUUCGGAUUGUUCUCUGCAACUCGAGAACAUGAAGCUGGAAUCACUAGUAAUCGUAGAUCAGCUAUGCUACGGUGAAUACGUUCCCGGGUCUUGUACACACCGCCCGU